CAGCCGCCGCGGUAAAACCAGCACCUCAAGUGGUCAGGAUGAUUAUUGGGCCUAAAGCAUCCGUAGCCGGCUCUGUAAGUUUUCGGUUAAAUCUGUACGCUUAACGUACAGGCUGCCGGGAAUACUGCAGAGCUAGGGAGUGGGAGAGGUAGACGGUACUCGGUAGGAAGGGGUAAAAUCCUUUGAUCUAUUGAUGACCACCUGUGGCGAAGGCGGUCUACCAGAACACGUCCGACGGUGAGGGAUGAAAGCUGGGGGAGCAAACCGGAUUAGAUACCCGGGUAGUCCCAGCUGUAAACUAUGCAAACUCAGUGAUGCAUUGGCUUGUGGCCAAUGCAGUGCUGUAGGGAAGCCGUUAAGUUUGCCGCCUGGGAAGUACGUACGCAGGUAUGAAACUUAAAGGAAUUGGCGGGGGAGCAC
Molecule: ribosomal RNA, 420 nt
Filed under: uncultured Nitrososphaerota archaeon
Lineage: Archaea; Thermoproteati; Nitrososphaerota
Description: bacterial SSU rRNA
Rfam family: Archaeal small subunit ribosomal RNA
Source: RNAcentral